GGCCAUAGUGGGUGAUAGCCCUGUACGCGAAAAUCCCUUUGCAAUGAAAUCGAGUAGGACGGGGCACGAGAAACCUUGUCUGAAUAUGGGGGGACCAUCCUCCAAGGCUAAAUACUACUGACUGACCGAUAGUGAACCAGUACCGUGAGGGAAAGGCGAAAAGAACCGCGGAGAGCGGAGUGAAAUAGAUCCUGAAACCGUAUGCGUACAAGCAGUGGGAGCCCACUUUGUUGGGUGACUGCGUACCUUUUGUAUAAUGGGUCAGCGACUUAUUUUCAGUGGCGAGCUUAACCGAAUAGGGGAGGCGUAGCGAAAGCGAGUCUUAAUAGGGCGUCUAGUCGCUGGGAAUAGACCCGAAACCGGGCGAUCUAUCCAUGGGCAGGUUGAAGGUUGGGUAACACUAACUGGAGGACCGAACCGACUACCGUUGAAAAGUUAGCGGAUGACCUGUGGAUCGGAGUGAAAGGCUAAUCAAGCUCGGAGAUAGCUGGUUCUCCUCGAAAGCUAUUUAGGUAGCGCCUCAUGUAUCACUGUAGGGGGUAGAGCACUGUUUCGGCUAGGGGGUCAUCCCGACUUACCAAACCGAUGCAAACUCCGAAUACCUACAAGUGCCGAGCAUGGGAGACACACGGCGGGUGCUAACGUCCGUCGUGAAAAGGGAAACAACCCAGACCGUCAGCUAAGGUCCCAAAGUCAUGGUUAAGUGGGAAACGAUGUGGGAAGGCUUAGACAGCUAGGAGGUUGGCUUAGAAGCAGCCACCCUUUAAAGAAAGCGUAAUAGCUCACUAGUCGAGUCGGCCUGCGCGGAAGAUGUAACGGGGCUCAAACCAUGCACCGAAGCUACGGGUAUCAUCUUUUGAUGAUGCGGUAGAGGAGCGUUCUGUAAGCCUGUGAAGGUGAGUUGAGAAGCUUGCUGGAGGUAUCAGAAGUGCGAAUGCUGACAUGAGUAACGACAAUGGGUGUGAAAAACACCCACGCCGAAAGACCAAGGUUUCCUGCGCAACGUUAAUCGACGCAGGGUUAGUCGGUCCCUAAGGCGAGGCUGAAAAGCGUAGUCGAUGGAAAACAGGUUAAUAUUCCUGUACUUCUGGUUAUUGCGAUGGAGGGACGGAGAAGGCUAGGCCAGCCUGGCGUUGGUUGUCCAGGUUUAAGGUGGUAGGCUGAGAUCUUAGGUAAAUCCGGGAUCUUAAGGCCGAGAGCUGAUGACGAGUGUUCUUUUAGAACACGAAG
Molecule: ribosomal RNA, 1230 nt
Filed under: Pseudomonas syringae
Lineage: Bacteria; Pseudomonadati; Pseudomonadota; Gammaproteobacteria; Pseudomonadales; Pseudomonadaceae
Description: bacterial LSU rRNA
Rfam family: Bacterial large subunit ribosomal RNA
Source: RNAcentral